Molecule: long non-coding RNA, 523 nt
Filed under: Strongylocentrotus purpuratus (purple sea urchin)
Lineage: Eukaryota; Metazoa; Echinodermata; Echinoidea; Camarodonta; Strongylocentrotidae
Description: uncharacterized LOC105445478, transcript variant X2
Source: RNAcentral
UUGCUCCUGACUGAGUAUAAAGAUUAAGAUUGUCAUUUCUCUGGAAGGUCUUUCUGGGCCUUACAUGAUUUACACUCUAUCAGAGAAUUUGAAGUCAUACACUGGAACACAUUAUAAUUCAACUGAUUUGAAGUUAUCUUGCUCCUGACCGAGUAUAAAGAUUGUCAAUUCUUUGGAGGAUCUUUCUGGGCAUCACAUGAUUUACACUACAUCAGAGGAUUUGAAGUCAUAGACUGGGACACAUUAUAAUUCAACUAAUUUGAAGUUAUCUUGCUCCUGACCGGACUGAGAAUCAAGAUUGUCAUUUUCUUUGAAAGGUUUUUCUGAGCAUCACAAGAUUUACACUCUAUCAGAGAAUUUGAAGUCAUAGACUGAAACACAUUAUAAUCCAACUCAGGCUGAUUUGAAGCGAUAUGGCAGGCCAAGAACCAUUCAUGGGUCAACAGUUACACUGCAUUUCUUUGAACAGUCAAAUGUUAGACAAGGAAUUACCACGAUCCAAGCGUAACUGUCACCUGGUGGA